Cajanus cajan (pigeon pea) is the source of this 364-nucleotide non-coding RNA. The record is from RefSeq and is a predicted model, not a curated record. Lineage: Eukaryota; Viridiplantae; Streptophyta; Magnoliopsida; Fabales; Fabaceae.
AACUGAAUUUACUUAUUACACAUACAGUUCUUGCCAGUGACCAAUCGUGAACUGAAGAAACAGUUGGAGCUAGCUUUUUCACUCGGAAUGCCUUCUGUCGUCAAUCUUGCAUUUCCUUGGAACGUGUGGGAACACACUAUUUUGGUGAUAGGGAGGGAAGGCCUAGGUCUCAAAGAAGAAAUGUGAAAACACGCUUUAAAUCUUGAUUGCAAAAGUUGCAAUGUUUUGUUGAAAAAAAUAACAAUUGCUCAGGUUUAGUGUUCAGUUCUUGGGAAGGGAAGGCGCGUGACUUUAACGAUGAAUUUCUGUAAGAUAGUCUGUUUAACAAAGCUCAAUUUUAAUGGGAAAAAAACCCUUUUAGUUA